RNAcentral lists this ribosomal RNA (414 nucleotides) under uncultured prokaryote. Its description in RNAcentral is "bacterial SSU rRNA". It matches the Rfam family "Bacterial small subunit ribosomal RNA", at positions 355 to 786 of the family's 1533-position model. The record is from RNAcentral.
UGAGGAAUAUUGCGCAAUGGGGGCAACCCUGACGCAGCAACGCCGCGUGAACGAUGAAGGCUUUCGGGUUGUAAAGUUCUUUUCUGAGGGAAGAUAAUGACGGUACCUCAGGAAUAAGCUCCGGCUAACUACGUGCCAGCAGCCGCGGUAAAACGUAGGGGGUGAACGUUAUCCGGAUUCAUUGGGCGUAAAGCGCACGUAGGCGGCGCUGCAAGUUGGGCGUGAAAGCUCUCGGCUUAACUGAGAGAGGUCGUUCAAAACUGCAGUGCUUGAGGUUGGAAGAGGAGAGUGGAAUUCCCGGUGUAGUGGUGGAAUGCGUAGAUAUCGGGAGGAACACCAGUGGCGAAAGCGGCUCUCUGGUCCACACCUGACGCUGAGGUGCGAAAGCGUGGGGAGCGAACGGGAUUAGAUACC